ACGUCAAAUCAUCAUGGCCUUUAUGUCCAGGGCUACACACGUAAUACAAUGGCAUAGACAGAGGGCAGCAAUACCGCAAGGUGGAGCAAAUCCCUAAACUGUGCCUCAGUUCGGAUUGAAGGCUGCAAUUUGCCUUCAUGAAGCUGGAAUCGCUAGUAAUCGCAGAUCAGCACGCUGCGGUGAAUACGUUCCCGGGCCUU
Molecule: ribosomal RNA, 200 nt
Filed under: uncultured prokaryote
Description: partial 16S ribosomal RNA
Rfam family: Bacterial small subunit ribosomal RNA
Source: RNAcentral